This 351-nucleotide ribosomal RNA is filed under the name uncultured Leptolinea sp. Its description in RNAcentral is "bacterial SSU rRNA". It matches the Rfam family "Bacterial small subunit ribosomal RNA", at positions 1013 to 1382 of the family's 1533-position model. The record is from RNAcentral. Lineage: Bacteria; Bacillati; Chloroflexota; Anaerolineae; Anaerolineales; Anaerolineaceae.
GACCUUCGGGAGCUUGCACAGGUGCUGCAUGGCUGUCGUCGGCUCGUGUCGUGAGAUGUUCGGUUAAGUCCGCUAACGAGCGCAACCCUCGUCGUGUGUUAUACGUGUCACACGAUACUGCCGGUAUCAAGCCGGAGGAAGGUGGGGAUGAUGUCAAGUCAGCAUGGCCUUUAUAUCCUGGGCUACACACACGCUACAAUGGCAGAUACAAUAGGUUGCGAAACCGCGAGGUGGAGCCAAUCCUCAAAGUCUGUCUCAGUUCAGAUUGUAGGCUGCAACUCGCCUGCAUGAAGUUGGAGUUGCUAGUAAACGCAGGUCAGCUAUACUGCGUUGAAUACGUUCCCGGGGUUU